Molecule: non-coding RNA, 72 nt
Organism: Bos taurus (domestic cattle)
Lineage: Eukaryota; Metazoa; Chordata; Mammalia; Artiodactyla; Bovidae
Source: Rfam
UCCCUGGUGGUCCAAUACUUAGGACUCUGUGUUUUCACUGCAGGGGCAUGGGUUCGAUCCCUGGUCAGGGAA